Doryrhamphus excisus (bluestripe pipefish) is the source of this 1335-nucleotide non-coding RNA. The record is from RefSeq and is a predicted model, not a curated record. NCBI's taxonomy places the organism in Eukaryota, Metazoa, Chordata, Actinopteri, Syngnathiformes, Syngnathidae.
CGCUAACAAUGCCAAGCUAGCGAUGCCAAGCUAGCGACGCCAAGCCGGAGAUGCCAGCUCGGAAGCGACGGGACUUCGGUCAAAGUUCUUCAGCCGGUAAUGGCAGCAGGACCGCUGGACGUCAUCGAUUAGGGACACGGGGGUCCGGCAUGGGCUUCGGGUGUGUGGGGUGAGUCCGAGGUUGUCCCAGCGUCCAUUUGCAUCAAUAACUGCCUGCUUCACGCCAAUACACGCGUUGCUGUCCUUACACUCCCACCAGCCCUUCCAUCUACACGCACCCGUAUGAAACGGUAUGUCUUGGAUGACGUCAGCCAUGUUGUUGUUUUUUUUGCAAUCUUUUCUUUUCAAUAGCCCCUUUUCCUCCGUGGGAACGUCCAUAUUUACCUCCGUCCGUACCGUCUACCUGGGUUAAAAAGUUCUUCCAAGCAACGCUGUCCUUUUAGCAACGUUCCAGGACGUGUUGCGGGGUGGGCCGUGCUGAUGAAUGUUGAUUGGUUGUACACACUUUGUUUCUACUCAGCCGCCAUCUUGAAAGAAGCAGUUUCAUGUAGAUGAGCAAAGCUACUUUGUGCAAAGCAAUACCAGAGCAAUAUAUUCAGCAUGAGGUUGAGACAUCUGUGAUUUUUAUGGAGACUGUGAAAGAAUAGCCAAGAGGAUGGGGGAUCGAAAUGUAAGAUUGGUGAAAAUCUGAAGUGAAGUGAUAUGAUCCAAGCCGCCAACCAGCCGUAUGAACACCAGCUGAGGACUCGGCAUCUCCUUCCUUGCUUGGCGAUGGUGGUGGAAGCAGUGAACAAGUGGAAUGAAGCAGAAAAGGAGCAUCAGGACUGGUUCCACCCCCUCUCGGAGAUCAUCAUUGACAUAACUAUUGGACACUGUGGACAUAAACCUUUGCCAACAAGAUGCUUAAAAAAUGAAAUGUCAUUCACUGACUUCUUUUGUAACUUUUUGAUUUCUAUUUGAUCUACUGACACUUGAAUGAAGACAAAAACAAAGCUAAUUUUGACUGUUUCAGGUUGCAUCAGUGUAGAAAUAUACCACUUCCACAGUUGAAUAAACUUUCCUGAACUUUAAAAUAAUAUAACUACACAGGGACCUUUUACUUCCAUUACGAGGAACUAGUAAGGGGUUAGGGUUCCUGAAACUUUGGUGGAAAAGGGGCUCUUGUACGACAUGUUCCAUGUUUUUAUUUGCUUUAAUUUGUGAGAAUAAGCUAGCUAUAAAGGACUGGUGGAUGGACAAGCUUGAUCACCUUUUGAAAUCGUCCUGGUCCUUUCACCCCUGAGAAAGCAUUGGCCAGAUAAAAGUGAACACAAAGAAGUACAGAAUUAUGAACUG